AAGCCAUGAAUCGGUCCUUGCUGCAGAACCUGCUGCCCUCCAGCGAAGAGCCGAGGUAGCGCCUCUGGCGGCUCUCGUACAGGAGAAGGGCAAGACCCGUCCUGUCCCCUGGGCAUUCCCUUCCCACAACUGAGCUUCAUGGAAUUCCUGAGCCUUCCCCACUGCCCUGGUUCCCACUACUACCAAAGCCCCCAGUGUCUCACCUAAGCUGAGCUACCCUGUCAGCCCGCGGUCACACACCUGAGGUCCUACAACUCAGAAGAGGCGGAGGGAGCCCUUCCAGAUUCCCUGUCCUGGUGAUCUGCUCCCGAAGGUACUCCAUGUCCUCCUCCAGCUUCAACUGUGGAACACACAAACCGCAGGAU
Molecule: long non-coding RNA, 365 nt
Organism: Cercocebus atys (sooty mangabey)
Lineage: Eukaryota; Metazoa; Chordata; Mammalia; Primates; Cercopithecidae
Exons: 3
Source: RefSeq, a predicted model, not a curated record